Molecule: ribosomal RNA, 253 nt
Filed under: uncultured bacterium
Lineage: Bacteria
Description: partial 16S ribosomal RNA
Rfam family: Bacterial small subunit ribosomal RNA
Source: RNAcentral
UACGAGAGGCCCAAACGUUAUUCGGAUUUACUGGGCUUAAAGAGUUCGUAGGCGGCGCGGAAAGUAGGGUGUGAAAGCCCUCGGCUCAACCGAGGAAUUGCGCUCUAAACUGUCGCGCUCGAGGAACCUAGAGGUGAGCGGAACUGAUGGUGGAGCGGUGAAAUGCGUUGAUAUCAUCAGGAACACCGGAGGCGAAGGCGGCUCACUGGGGGUUAUCUGACGCUGAGGAACGAAAGCCAGGGGAGCAAACGGG